Anolis carolinensis (green anole) is the source of this 7794-nucleotide long non-coding RNA. RefSeq lists it as uncharacterized. The record is from RefSeq and is a predicted model, not a curated record. The transcript has 3 exons. NCBI's taxonomy places the organism in Eukaryota, Metazoa, Chordata, Lepidosauria, Squamata, Anolidae.
UCAGGCCCGGUCCAAUGCAGUACGUAGAUUACGCCUUGGCGUCGGGCGCAGGCGAGGGGGGGCGCUGUGUGGAGUCCUUGGCAGCACCCCCGUUUUGCUCCGGUCACAGUGUUUGUCCAAAUUGUCCUGGCGCCGGCAAUGGAGGCCCUGAGUGCAGCGCAUGCACACAACGGCACAGGACUGGCAUGCCAUCGCCUAAAAUGGCCGAUGGGGCUUCUUUGUCCUGGCGCCGGCAAUGGAGGCCCUGAGUGCAGCGCAUGCACAGGACUGGCAUGCCAUCACCCAAAAUGGCCGAUGGGACUUCUAUGCGCACGCGCACAGGACUCCCAUCAGCCAUUUUGGCUGUUUUUGUGCAGGCAUAGCCUCCAGCCACCCACCACGUGGAGCAGCCAGCCAGGAGGUGAUAGGGCCCGGCUGACUGAUCGUAGCAGAGCAGCUUCUAUCUUGCUGUUAAAACCAUCUCACUUGUGCCUGCAUGCCCAGUCAGUGCCCACCUUCAGGUCAGUCAGCAGCAGCAGCAAUGCAAUGCAUACAGUCAUGAUAAAAAAAUUGUUUUUGAAUAUUUUUAAUUGAUGUUUUUUAAUUUACAAUUAAAAAUAAAAGAAAAAACAUGGAAUUCGUGGUGGGGGAGGGGGGAAUUGGGUGAGGGGGAGAGGAUCGGUAUAUUCCAUUGGAUCUUCGGUUCAAUGAGUCUAGUCUCUUUGUGGAGCAAGUUGCUGGAUGUAGAGGAGUAGUUGUUUUAUUUUAUUAGGGGGCAGAUUGUGCCCCCCUUUUAUGUUGCCUGGGUUGGCUAUUUCUUAUUUCAGUUAUGGAGUUCCUUCAAUCUGUGUCUGUCCUUUUCUUAUAUAUUCCUGUUUCUUUGAUUGGUUUUCCAUUAUGCUUCUUCAUCAGGAAAGUCAGUCUGUCCAUGUUCUUUAUUUCCCAUAUCUUUGAUUACCAUUUUUUAAAUGUUCCCUAACUGGCUGCUCUCCUCAUCGCCACCAUCCUGAUUUACCUUGAUUCAGACCGCUCCACAUGGAGCUGGAGCUGAUAGAGGGAGCUCAUCCGUGCUCUCCCCAGGUUGGAUUCGAACGGGCAAGUCAUCAGUCCUGCUGGCACACUGUGCUAUUGGGGGCUCCCACCUUCCCUAUGAUUAGUAGGUUAAAGAGCUGGGUCUGUUUAGCCUGCAGAAGAGAAGGUUGAGAGGAGACAUGAUCACCAUGUUUAAAUAUCUAAAACAGGGGUCCCCAAACUAAGGCCCGGGGGCCAGAUGCGGCCCUCCAAGGUCAUUUACCUGGCCCCCACCCUCAUUUAUAAUAUAAUAUUUUUAUAUCAGUUUUAAUAAUAUAAUAUAUUGUAUAUACAUAUGAUAUUGAUAAUAAUAUUAUCAUUUUAUACAAUAUAAUACUAAUAAUAAUACCAUAUAAUAAUAUUAAUUAUAUGUUAUAUAUUACAUAUAAUGUUACAUAUAGUGGUAUAGUUCAAUAUAGUAAUAUAUAAUGCUAAUAUUGUGCUAUGCUAAUAAUAUAAUAUAUUGUAUGUACAUAGAGCUGCUCUGAGUUCCCUUCAGGGUGAGAAGGGUGGGAUAUAAAUGUAGUAAAUAAAUGUAGUAAAUGAAUAAAUAAAUAAUUUUGGACUUCGGCUUGCCCAAAGUCUGAAAUGACUUGAAGACACACAACAACAAUAAUCCUAAUUAACCUGACUAUCUCAUUGGCCAGAAGCAGGCCCACACUUUCUAUUGAAAUCCUGACAGGUUUAUGUUGGUUAAAUUUAUUUUCAUUUUUAAAUAUUGUAUUGGUCUUUCAUUGUUAUUGUUAUUGUUUUGCACUACAAAUAAGAUAUGUGCAGUGUGCAUAGGAAUUUGUUCGUUUUUUUUUUUCAAAUGAUAAUUCGGCCGCUCAACAGUCUGAAGGAUCGUGGACCGGCCCUCUGCUUUAAAAGUUUGGGGACCCCUGAUCUAAAAGGAGCAGGCUUGUUUUCUGCUGCCUUGGAGACUAGGACUCAAUGGAGCAGUGGGUUCAAAUUACAGAAAAGGAGAUUCCAACUGAACAUUAGGAAGAACUUACUGACUGUAAGAGCUGUUCAGCAGUGGAACUCACUGCCUCAUAGUUCAGUAGAAGCUUCUCCUUUUAAGGUUUUUAAAUAGAGGCUGGAUGGCCAUCUUUUGGGGGUGCUUUGAUUGUGCUUUUCCUGUAUGGCAGGGUUUGGGACUGGAUGUCCCAUAUGAUUCUAUGAUUAGCUGACUGGUUAUUUCUGACCUCAUCCUGAGUAAUCCAGUUUAUGUGGGUUGGGUGUCUCCAUUAAACUGUUUUGGUCUAUGAAAGGAUGAACUAACUGGAUUUCCUUUGUAAUGAUUUCAUUUGGAUGAUUUCAUUUGAGCAGAGCUACCUAAAGUGGGAGCCCUGAUGGCGCAGUGUGUUAAUGUGCUGAGCUGCUGAACUUGCGGGCCAAAAGGUCCCAGAUUCAAAUCCCGGGAGCGGAAUGAGCGCCCACUGUUAGCUCCAGCUUCUGCCAACCUAGCAGUUUGAAAACACGCAAGUGUGAGUAGAUCAAUAGGUACCGCUCCAGCGGGAAGGUAACGGCGCUCCAUGCAGUCAUGCCGGCCACAUGACCUUGGAGGUGUUUAUGGACAACACCGGCUCUUCGGCUUAGAAAUGGAGAUGAGCACCAACCCCAAGAGUCGGUUACGUCAAGGGAAAACCUUUACCUUUACCUACCAAAAGUUCUGUGUUAGGUGUGUCAUGCUAGGUGAAAGAUUCUAUAAAUUGUACGGAAGGUAACCUUGCCCAACUUUCAUGAUGGGCCUGAGGUUAUUAUGGAACUUUUCUCUAUUGGAUAGAAGGAAUAAUAAGCAGAUAUUGGCAAAAUAUUUAAGAGACAUUUAUUUAUGGUAAUUUCUUUAUGACUGAUCUACAAACCAUCAGCUUUUUUUCCUUGUCAGAAGCGACUUGAGAACAUACUGCAAGUUGCUUCUGGUGUCAGAGAAUUGGCCAUCUACAGAGAUGUUGCCCAGGCGAUGCCCAGAUGUGUUACCAUCCUACUGGGAGACUUCUCUCAUGUCCCUACAAGCUAGAGCUGACGGACAGGAGCUCACCCUGUCUUGCAGAUUCGAACUGGCAACCUUUAGGUCGGCAACCCAACCUUCAGUUCAACAGUUCAGCUGGCACAAGAGUUUAACCCGUUGUGCCACCAUACCUCCUAUCUUCAGGCCUUGGAAAGUUUCCAGGAAAAAUAAUGAGUACAGUAGAGUCUCACUUAUCCAAGCUAAUCCUUGGAUAAGCGAAUAUCUUGGAUAAUAAGGAGGGAUUAAGGAAAAGCCUAUUAAACAUCGAAUUAGGUUAUGAUUUUACAAAUUAAGCACCAAAACAUCAUGUUAUACAACAAAUUUGACAGAAAAAGUAGUUCAAAACGUAGUAAUGUUAUGUUGUAAUUACUGUACUUACAAAUUUAGCACCAAAAUAUCAUGAUAUAUUGAAAACAUUGACUACAAAAAUGGCUUGGAUAAUCCAGAGGCUUGGAUAAGCGAGGCUUGGAUAAGUGAGACUCUACUGUAAUACUAAAUGAUAACAUGAAUCUGUCUAGAGGAGAGUGACUGAAAUGAUCAAGGCUUUGGAGAAUAAUCCCUAUGAGGAGCGGUUUAAAGAUCUGGGCAUGUUUUGCAUGUAGAUGAGAAGGUUGAGAGGAGACUUGAUGGCCAUGUAUAAUAAUGUGAGAGGAAGUCAUAGGGAGGAUGGACCAAGCUUGUUGCCUUCUGCCUUGGAGACUAGAACUUGGAAGAAUGGCUUCAAACAAAUAACCCACAUUACGUGCUUUGAACUGGGAUAUAUGGCAGUAAGGACUCAGACAAUCCAGUUCAAAGCAGGUAAUGUGGGUUAUCCUGCCUUGAUAUCCUGAGUUAUAGAGCUGUGUGGAAGGGCCCAAAUUCUUUCUCCUUCUCUGCCAAAUAAUGCUGGAAAGUGUCCAGAGGAGGGCCACAUCUAAGGCAGGCAUCCUCAGAGGUUGUGAGGUGUGUUGGAAACUAGGCAAGUGGGGUUUGUAUAUCUUUGUUGAGAGGUGUUAGCUGGCCCUGAUUGUUUCAUGUUUGGAAUUCCCCUGUUUUUGAGUGUUCUUUUUUACUGUCCUUUUUUUACUGUCCUUUUUUUUACUAUUUAUUUAUUUAUUUAUUUAUUUCCCAUACUUCUGUCCCGCCCUUCUCACCCGAAGAGGAUUCAGGGUGGCCUCACAACUGGCAACAAUUCAAUGGCCGACAUACAAAUUCCAAUAAUAUAAUGACAAUUAAACUCAAACAUUAAAACAAAAACUACUAAAAACAACAAUUACAACCACAUAAGUUCAAAAUCAUAGUCCAGAAUCAGUCCAAUGGUCAGUACUUAAAAAGUCCUCAAUUAUUGCACUGCUAGGAAUAAUGCUCAAUAACCAUAACCAUGUCUAGCAAGGCUAUUCUAUGCUAAUCAAAGUGAUCAACUGCAGUUAUUCACACUUGGCCUUCAUAUUAUCCAACAUUUUUGCUUAUCCAAUGCUCUGCUGGCCCGUUCAUGUUGUUUGGUGUGUGUGUGGGGGGGGGGGGGGGGGGGCACCAAAAUUUCUAUUCGCUUACACUUGAAAAUUAUCUUGGGCCGGCUCUGCUCUUUCUAGUGGGAUUUAUAUACUGCAUUUGAAUUUCUCUUGAAUAUUUUAUUUAGGUCUUUAAGAUUAGAUAACAGAACUCAAGCUGAGCAAUAUCUGACCUUUUUUCUUUCUUUUACUCAACAUCAUCCAAAACACAUCCACUCCCAACAGAUUCUCAUAACUGUUUCCCCAGUUGUCACCAACGGACUAUUCUGUCCAAAGAUAGGCCCCACUUUUCAAUUUUUCUCUCCCAAUAGAGACUUCUUCCUCUUAAACAGCAUUCUGGGUGCUGGGAUUGUCUGCUUUCAGUUAUUCUCAAGCAUUGCUUAAUAUCUAUUCAUACAAGCCCCACUUAGUAAUAUAUUUGCAAGGUUUCUCCCCAUUUGUUCCAGUAAGAGUUUCAUAUCCUCUUUCUGAUGGGAGAAAAUCCAAAGUUGGCUGCUCCUUCUUCCUGGUUCUCUGGCUGUUUGCUUUCUCAGAGAAGGCAGGUGACAACUCAGCAAUAGCCAAAAAGAAGAAUGGUUUUGGAAACAUUAUUUUUUGGACUGGCAUUCCUAAAAUCCCCCAGCUAACAUGUAGGCACUGUUUCCACUGAAAUGGAUGCCACUGGUGCUGCCAGUUAUAGGAGGCCGUGGUUGGCUCCCCAACUCCAGAAUAGUACUAUUUAACCAUAACAUUCCUCUCUUUUAUAAAUCCUACAAUUGGCAUUUGCCUCUAGCAUUGUUGUGAAAAAGUGAUAAACAAGACCCAGUCUUUUUUGAAGUUCAUCAGAGAUCUCUCCUUGAUCAACAUUGUCAGUUUGUCCAUCUCAGCUAGUUUGCAGAUCUUCGUCAGCCAUUCUUCUUGCCUUGGGAUAAUAGGUUCCUUUCAUCUCUGAGCAUAGAUGGUUUUCCCUGCAGUUAUCACAUAUUGUUCAGUUCACUUCAGUUGGACUUCCCAGCUGAACCGUUUAAAAUCUUGAAAGAUGAUGCUGUUAACGGGAUGCAUGCCAUAUGCAAGCAAAUAUGAAAAACACAAAAAUGGCCAUCAGAUUGGAAAAAAUCAAUUUAUAUCUCCAUACCAAAAAAGUAAAACUCUAAUGAAUGCUCAAAUUUCUAUACAGUGACACUUAUUUCACAUGCCAGUAAGGUAAUGCUCAAGAUCCUUUAAGGCAGACUCCAGCAAAACAUGGAGCAGGAGUUGCUAGAUGUACAAGCCGGGUGUAGAAAAGGCAGAGGAAUGAGAGACCAAAUUGCCAAUCUCUUCUGGAUAAUGGAGGAAGGUAGAGUUAAAGAAAAACAUCUAUUUCUGUUUUAUUGACUAUUCUAAAGUCCUUGACUGUGUGGAUCAUAAUAAAUUGUGGCAAGUUCUUAGUGGUGUGGGGAUACCAAGUCACCUUGUCUGUUCCCUGAGGAAUCUGUUUAACAACCAAAUAGUAACAGUAAGAACAGACCACAGAAAAAUAGUCUGGUUCAAGAUUGGGAAAGGAGUAUGACAAGGUUGUAUAUUCUCGCCCUAUCUGUUCAACUUGUAUGCAGUUGCAUGCAAUGUGCAGGGCUUGAUGAAUCCACGUCUGGAGUUAAAAUUGCUAGAAGAAACAUUAACAACCUCAGAUAUACAGAUGAUACCAUUUUGAUGGCUGUGAGUGAGGAGGAGCUGAGGAGCCUUAUCACCAAGGUGAAAGAAGUUGGGUGCAAAUGUUGGGUUGCAGUUAAAUAUCAAGAAAACCAAGAUUAUGGCAACCAGACUGAUUGAUAACUGGCAAAUAGAAGGAGAAAACAUGGAGGCAGUGACAGACUUUAUAUUUCUAGGGGUGAAGAUUACUGCAGACGCAGACUGCAGCCAGGAAAUCAGAAGACAUUUCCUUCUUAGAGGGAGAGCAAUGGCCAACCUCGAUAAAAUAGUGAAGAGUAGAGACAUCACACUGGCAAAGUAGGUCUGCAUAGUUAAAGUAAUGGUAUUCACCAUAGUAACCUAUGGAUGUGAGAGCUGGAUCAUAAGGAAGGCUGAGCAAACUGUGGAGUUGGAGGAAAAUUCUGAGAGUGUCUUGGAUUGCAAGAAGAUCAAAUCAGUCCAUACUCCAUAUCCCACAUUCCAUAGGAUUUAGUCAUAGCAAAUAAAGUGAUGUCAAACUACAGUAUUCUGUAGUGUAGUUGCACUCUAACAUUGCAGGUUUGCACUCUACCCUGUGAGUUUGAAGCCUCCUAUAGCACACCACUUGUUUGUUUGUUGAUUAAUCUGAAGCCAUAAAAUGAAAAAUAAAUACAAGCAAGAAUGUUUGUACUGAUAUUUGAGUUUGAUUCUGUAAUAUUCCUGACACGAUGCUGAAAUCAAAACAAAACCCUGCGGCUUCAUUUUUAAGCACUUUUAAGGCCAAAUAAGAGAUUAAAGUCUUUAUUACUCAACUCUUUCCACUGAAUUUUUAAUCUAGAUACCUUCUGCAUAGGUUGCUGGCAAAUGCGUUCAGGUUUCCUUGCCAGACAGAUCAGAGUUAUCUGCCAACUGUUUAGCAAUCAUUUGUAAAGCAUCAGAAAGUUUUGUCUACCAAGCUCUGGUCCUGGAAGACUUCACUCACAAAGGAGCUGAUCAGCUGUCAGAUCCAAGCCGAUCGGCAUUCAGUUUUGAUCAAGCUCAUGGCUGAAGCACCUGCACGUUGUUUAAGAAAUGUCAACAGAAGUGAUACAGCCAAGAACAAAACUGGGAGAUUGCAUGUCAAACAAGAAGGUGAACUAUAAAUCCUAGCAACUACAACUCCCAAAUGCCAAGGUCUCCCCCCCACCCCAAACUCCACCAGUGUUCAAAUUUCGGCAUAUUGAGUAUGCGGGCCAAGUUUGGUCCAGAUCCAUCAUUGUUUGAAUCCACAGUGCUCUCUGGAUGUGGGUGAACUACAACUCCAAAACUCAAGGAAUUAGCAGUGCGAAGCAGAAGAACAGGAGGGAGAAAGAAGAAGAGGAAGGAAGAAGAGGGAGACUCCUGAUAAUGCUGCAUUGUGAUGAAAAAGUAUUUGCAGGGGGAAAGACCUUCAGAAUUAGAGGGGAAAAGAGAAUGGACCUUUUAAAACUACAGUUCCCAUUAUUCCAUUGCAUUUAGCCAUGGCAGCUUAAGUGAUACCAAACUGCAUUAAUUCACAAUAUAGAUGCACCCUUGACUUGUAGAUGCACCCUUGACUUGUAGUUUGUCACACAAAUGGGGGAGUAAACCUGAUGCAAAAAGAGAGACUCAUUUUAA